This is an RNA transcript of Populus trichocarpa (black cottonwood), 1108 nucleotides long. It is a transcript of the gene named 40S ribosomal protein S9-2, with no coding region annotated. The record is from RefSeq and is a predicted model, not a curated record. The transcript is spliced from 4 exons. Lineage: Eukaryota; Viridiplantae; Streptophyta; Magnoliopsida; Malpighiales; Salicaceae.
GGGUUAGGGGUUAGGGCUUUGAUUUUCUUUUAGACGGGGAGAAAUCUUGUAACUAUAAAUACAACAAUUAUAGUUCCUCACCGCCUCCCUAGACCCUAACUGAGUUCUACAGCGAACAGAAUGGUUCACGUCUCCUUUUAUCGGAACUAUGGGAAAACUUUUAAGAAGCCAAGGCGUCCUUAUGAGAAGGAACGUUUGGAUGCCGAGCUGAAGCUUGUCGGAGAGUAUGGGCUCCGUGCCAAGAGGGAACUCUGGAGGGUUCAGUAUGCUUUGAGUCGCAUUCGUAAUGCUGCCAGAAUGCUUCUCACCCUUGACGAGAAGAACCAGCGCCGUAUUUUUGAGGGUGAGGCGCUUUUGAGGAGGAUGAAUAGGUAUGGGCUUUUGGAAGAGAGCCAGAACAAGCUCGAUUAUGUGUUGGCUCUCACCGUGGAAAACUUUCUCGAGCGCCGCCUCCAGACUCUUGUUUUCAAGGCUGGUAUGGCUAAGUCCAUCCACCAUGCCAGAGUGCUCAUCAAACAGAGGCACAUUAGGGUUGGGAGGCAGGUGGUCAAUAUUCCAUCCUUCAUGGUGAGAGUUGACUCGCAGAAGCACAUUGAUUUCUCACUGACAAGCCCCUUUGGUGGUGGACGCCCUGGUAGAGUGAAGCGAAAGAACCAGAAGGCUGCUUCCAAGAAGGCUGCUGGUGGAGAUGGAGAUGAAGAGGAUGAAGAAUGAGCUGUAAUGUUCAGUGAUAGUGAUUUUCAUUUAAUGUUAUAAAUUUGGUUAAUAAAAAGGAAAAGGAAGCAACAAGAAGAAAAAGAAACUACAAUAAGAGAGAGCUGAGAGAGGGAAUACAAUAGAGAGAGAAGAACACAAAAGGGAGAAGAAGGCAGAAGCAAGAAGGAGAAGCCUAGCGACAUAUGUUUAAUCUUGCUGGUGAGUUAGGUUGUGGGGUGGGAAAGUUUGUUCCUCGGCUUUUCUAUGGUUUAAAGUCAAUUUUCCUAGGAUGGCCAUGGAGCUUUCCUUUCUCUUUUUGGUUCUGGUAAGAGGUACGUAUGUGAAGGGUAGACAUGCCAUAAGUUUUUGUUCCUUGCUUGUUAUGUUGAGAAAAGUUAUGCCUUGAUCAUUA